RNAcentral lists this long non-coding RNA (976 nucleotides) under Homo sapiens (human). RNAcentral's name for it is "non-protein coding lnc-ASCC1-4:4". The record is from RNAcentral. Lineage: Eukaryota; Metazoa; Chordata; Mammalia; Primates; Hominidae.
GCCACGCCCCCUUUCUGGAAAGGAUCCGCGGCGGCUGCAGCUGCCAAGGCAGCGCAGCCGGACCUCCCUGCCCGGGCGCCCCCCGGGUCCUAGCACCCAGCGCUCGCCUAGCGCUUUGUGUAAAAGAUCCAGACGGUUGCAUCAGGACCGAGGACCGAGAUCUCUGGAAAAGCCAGGGAGUGCAAUGGCCAUCCCGUGUUUCAUCAUUCAGGCGGGGCCACAGGAAAUCUGGCCUGGCAGCAGUGCUCAGAGGCUAACAGUGGUUGCUGAGGGUGGGUGGAGGUUGAGACGGACUCGACCUUUAUUGCUCUAAAGGUUUAUCAGUCUGGGACAGGAGGACCCUGAUGGAAGAGGGAGCCAAACUUACAUCAGAUGCCCAGGGCCCCGGGGGCGGGCAAGGAACCUAACCAGAUAGGCGGGCCUUGCCUCGGGUGGGAGACCCACUUAUGGAGACAAAUUUAUGGAUUAAAAAAAGAAAUCAGGGGAUCCAGGAGACAUCUUAAAGACAGCUGCAGAAUGGAAUAGUUUGUGAGCCACUGGGACUUUCAAGGCCUUCUCUUCCCAUUCUUCAAGCUCUGUCGCUUGUUGGAGCCUUAAAGACACCAGAUUGCUUAACAAUGGGGAUAUAAAAAUUAAAAAUAAUAAAAGACACUGGAUCAAGGCGGCUAGUUGUUCUUGGAGGGCUGGAGUAGAUGACAUACUCUUGAAAUCACUCUUACAGAGGUGACCUGCAUGGGUGUGUCUUCCUGCUGGCCAGAGAGAAGAUCUGAAUUAAUCCAUCAGGAACAUUCACAUUUCCUCCAGGCUGAUUUGGGCGGGACACCUAAACACCCUAAGGAAACAAGAGUUACGAUGUUUUUUCUUCUUCUUCUUCUUUUUUUUUUUUUUUUUGAGAUGGGGUCUCACUCUUUCACCCAGGCUGGAGUGCAGUGGUGCGAUCUUGGCUCACUGCAAGCUCCGCCUCCCGGGUUCACAC